Long non-coding RNA from Xenopus tropicalis (tropical clawed frog), 512 nucleotides. RefSeq lists it as uncharacterized. Lineage: Eukaryota; Metazoa; Chordata; Amphibia; Anura; Pipidae. The record is from RefSeq and is a predicted model, not a curated record. The transcript is spliced from 2 exons.
UGCCUUUCUGCUGUAGCCAUAACCUGCGGGGAAGGUGGGGGCCCCGUGAGGAAGACUACUAUACAAGAAGUCCCCCAUACAGUCUUCAAGGCAACUAAAGGCCCUGGACAAGGAUGCUGCGCAAUAAUAAUAUUUGCUGCAGUAUAGGACAUGAAGGAAAAGGAUAAUGCACUGCAAGGGUGAUACUUUUCUGGAAACAGAUGAAGAAUGAAAAGCCAUGCCAAAGCAGCUUGAAGGCUACUGGAAUUUCUGUGGAGGGGUCAUUGAUGGAAAACAUGUGCAAAUACAACAUCCUGCCAACUCUGGUUCCUACUAUUAUAAUUAUAAAGUGUACUUUAGUAUUGUGUUGGCACUAGUAAAUGCCAAAUGUGAAUUAUAAUAGUGGAUGUUUGGAAAAAUGGUAGAGUAUCAGAUGGAGGAGCCACAGAACAGACUUCCUUCUAUCAGCAGCUAAAGAGCAAAGAAUGAAAGUGCCUACUAAAUUAGAAAUAAAAGAAGGGCUAAAUGUUGUA